RNAcentral lists this ribosomal RNA (368 nucleotides) under Staphylococcus simulans UMC-CNS-990. RNAcentral describes it as "bacterial SSU rRNA". It matches the Rfam family "Bacterial small subunit ribosomal RNA", at positions 1 to 359 of the family's 1533-position model. The record is from RNAcentral. Lineage: Bacteria; Bacillati; Bacillota; Bacilli; Caryophanales; Staphylococcaceae.
UUAUGGAGAGUUUGAUCCUGGCUCAGGAUGAACGCUGGCGGCGUGCCUAAUACAUGCAAGUCGAGCGAACAGACGAGGAGCUUGCUCCUCUGACGUUAGCGGCGGACGGGUGAGUAACACGUGGGUAACCUACCUAUAAGACUGGGAUAACUCCGGGAAACCGGGGCUAAUACCGGAUAACACAUGAAACCGCAUGGUUUCAUGAUGAAAGACGGUUUUGCUGUCACUUAUAGAUGGACCCGCGGCGUAUUAGCUAGUUGGUAAGGUAACGGCUUACCAAGGCAACGAUACGUAGCCGACCUGAGAGGGUGAUCGGCCACACUGGAACUGAGACACGGUCCAGACUCCUACGGGAGGCAGCAGUAGGG